GAUGAAGAACGUAGCGAAAUGCGAUAAGUAAUGCGAAUUGCAGAAUCCGCGAGUCAUCGAAUCUUUGAACGCACAUUGCGCCCCUUGGUUAUUCCGAAGGGCAUGCCUGUUCGAGCGUCAUUAUCACCCCUCAAGCCCUGGCUUGGUGUUGGACUUUAGUUAUAGCUUUGCCUAUCAACUGGUCUCAAAGAUAGUGACGGCGCCCCAGAGGGAACCGGGUACGAGGAGCUUUUUACUAAGCAUGUAUCUGGGACGACUCUGGGCGACGGUCUUGUUAUACUUUUUACCUAAGUGUUGACCUCGGAUCAGGUAGGAAUACCCGCUGAACUUAAGCAUAUCAAUAAGCGGAGGA
Molecule: unclassified non-coding RNA, 352 nt
Filed under: soil metagenome
Description: partial contains 5.8S ribosomal RNA, internal transcribed spacer 2, and large subunit ribosomal RNA
Rfam family: 5.8S ribosomal RNA (bases 1-120)
Source: RNAcentral